Molecule: long non-coding RNA, 1156 nt
Filed under: Felis catus (domestic cat)
Lineage: Eukaryota; Metazoa; Chordata; Mammalia; Carnivora; Felidae
Description: lncRNA (ENSFCAG00000049941.1)
Source: RNAcentral
AUGCUUUCCACAUACCCCAGAGUUGCUCCUGCAACUUUGCACAUGCCAUUCCCUCUCCUUGAAUGCUCUUGCAGGGGCAGAAUCAUCUCAAAACUACGUCUCCUGAUGCCCAAAACCACUGGGGAGAGAAUCUGGCAGCUGAGCAAGCCAGGUUAAUACCUGAAUUACAAGAUGUUCCUGAGCACCCUUCAGUGUAGGGCUCCGCCACAAACAAAAGCCCCUGAGGUGGGCCCCAGGUGGGUGACUUGCCCCGCUGCCACCUGACUGUGAGCAAUAGGCAGCCUGAUCCUUUUUGGCCUCGUCAUCCACUAGGCCUUGGGGAAUCACUUUUUUCUAUUUUAGUAUUUUAAAAAGCAUCCAUUGGGUCUGUCUCGAGACAUUAGAGGGAAUGAGAACAAAGGCUGGUAGCCAGACUUUGCCUCAAAUCUGCUUUGCUUCACAAAUGAAAAUUCCUGUGACAUCACUUUGUGGUAGUUUGUCAAGCUUUGGGUUUAUGAAAAUAAUAGCUGAUUAAGCUAUUCACCAUGUUGUCAUGGAAAACAACAAAAAUAACAUUUAUUACACUUCAUAAUCUGGGCACUUUACAUAUAUUAUCUUAUUUAUCCUUCAUCUUUUAAAAAACACAUUUAGUGUUUCCAGUUGAGGAGACCAGUGUUUAGAAAUGGUUUGUAUAAUUUAAUCAAGUCAGCCAUUGGUAUAGGCAGGGUUUGAACCCAGGUUACUGUGCUCCACAUUCCCACUACAUGAAUCUUUGUGCCUCCAUUGUAGUUUACUGUAACAAAUUUAGAGCCUGAAAACUUUAGCCUUGCAGAUCAGGGAGGCCGGAAUAUGAGCAUUAAGAUGAUCGUAGAUGUAAUUCUGGCUAUCCCAGGUGGCCUGGGAAGCUUGUCUGAGGUUCGGGUUUCUCAUCUAGGCUGGCUUGUAAAGCAGAGGAUUCCACUCUUUAAUGGAACCCAAUCAAAGUAACCUCACCUGACUUGCCGGGGAGUAAAAUCUUAAACACACUGGUGAGGUCCAAUAUUUUUCAAAGGCUUGGCAAGAGAAACAAUAUUCUUGGAAUAUGGCCUGGAGUUUAUAGAGUCCACCUCUUCCUCUAAGGACUCUGAAUCAACUCCGGAUUAAGCCAGACCAUCCACCAUCAGCAGUGUACCUGCAG